GGAUAGCUCAGUGGUAGAGCAGGUGAAUGAUAAUCAUCGUGACGCGGGUUCGAAUCCCGCUCCA
Molecule: transfer RNA, 64 nt
Filed under: Bradyrhizobium sp. cir1
Lineage: Bacteria; Pseudomonadati; Pseudomonadota; Alphaproteobacteria; Hyphomicrobiales; Nitrobacteraceae
Description: tRNA-Ile
Rfam family: tRNA
About the family: Transfer RNA (tRNA) molecules are approximately 80 nucleotides in length.
Source: RNAcentral